GAUUAUGGCUCAGAACGAACGCUGGCGGCGCGUCUUAAGCAUGCAAGUCGGACGACAAGGGUUGUGCUUGCACAACUCCUAGAGUGGCGGACUGGUGAGUAACGCGUGGGUGACCUGCCCUCGAGAUGGGGAUAGCCAUUAGAAAUAGUGGAUAGUACCGAAUACGCUCAUGACCCUGUGGGGAUAUGAGGAAAACAGGCUACGGCCUGGCUCGAGGAUGGGCCCGCGUCCCAUUAGCUAGUUGGUGAGGUAACGGCCCACCAAGGCGACGAUGGGUAUCCGGCCUGAGAGGGUGUACGGACACAUUGGGACUGAGAUACGGCCCAAACUCCUACGGGAGGCAGCAGCUAAGAAUAUUCCGCAAUGGGCGAAAGCCUGACGGAGCCGACGCCGCGUGAACGAAGAAGGCCGUGAGGUUGUAAAGUUCUUUUCGGGAGGGGGAACAACCGUGGCAGGGAAUGGCCGCGGGAUGACGUGAAUCCCGGAAUAAGCCCCGGCUAACUACGUGCCAGCCGCCGC
This 519-nucleotide ribosomal RNA is filed under the name uncultured bacterium. RNAcentral's name for it is "bacterial SSU rRNA". It matches the Rfam family "Bacterial small subunit ribosomal RNA", at positions 15 to 518 of the family's 1533-position model. The record is from RNAcentral.